AUAAAAUAAAGGCUCAGCUUGCCAUCUGGAUCUUUCUCUGUGGCCUCAGCCAGGCACAGGAGAUCCACCUAGACCCAGCUUAUUCUCUUUGUCUGUCUUUUCUUCAUCAUUCGCCAGCCCUCCCUCAGGCUUGCCGAACCCUUGGCUGAGCUGGCCCAGCACAGAUAGGUAUUUGGAGCUUUA
Long non-coding RNA from Pipistrellus kuhlii (Kuhl's pipistrelle), 183 nucleotides. RefSeq lists it as uncharacterized. NCBI's taxonomy places the organism in Eukaryota, Metazoa, Chordata, Mammalia, Chiroptera, Vespertilionidae. The record is from RefSeq and is a predicted model, not a curated record. The transcript has 3 exons.